GAGUUUGAUCGUGGCUCAGAUUGAACGCUGGCGGCAUGCCUUACACGUGCAAGUCGAACGGCAGCACGGGAGCUUGCUCCUGGUGGCGAGUGGCGAACGGGUGAGUAAUGCAUCGGAACGUAUCCUGGAGUGGGGGAUAACGUAGCGAAGUUACGCUAAUACCGCAUAUUCUGUGAGCAGGAAAGCGGGGGACCUUCGGGCCUCGCGCUCUUGGAGCGGCCGAUGUCGGAUUAGCUAGUUGGUGAGGUAAAGGCUCACCAAGGCGACGAUCCGUAGCAGGUCUGAGAGGAUGAUCUGCCACACUGGAACUGAGACACGGUCCAGACUCCUACGGGAGGCAGCAGUGGGGAAUUUUGGACAAUGGGGGCAACCCGUGAUCCAGCCAUGCCGCGUGAGUGAAGAAGGCCUUCGGUU
This 414-nucleotide ribosomal RNA is filed under the name bacterium enrichment culture clone ALO1_GLFRUDD03G7FC4. RNAcentral's name for it is "bacterial SSU rRNA". It matches the Rfam family "Bacterial small subunit ribosomal RNA", at positions 9 to 423 of the family's 1533-position model. The record is from RNAcentral.